This 814-nucleotide unclassified non-coding RNA is filed under the name Hevea brasiliensis (rubber tree). Lineage: Eukaryota; Viridiplantae; Streptophyta; Magnoliopsida; Malpighiales; Euphorbiaceae. The record is from RNAcentral.
CACACACAUACACACACACAUUAAAAAAAUCCAAAAUACAAUAUGAACAUAAAAUGCUUUUUCAAGAAGCAAAUAGGAAACAGAGCUAGAAAAUCAUUCAAAUCUACAACCAAUGUUGUGGUGCACCACCAGGUAGAUCGACAUUCAAAACAAGAACUCCUUCGAAUUCGAUUCUUCAAUUCGUUUAACACCAAAAGAUGCCCAGCAUCUCCAGCUUGUGAGCGAGCUUGAACGUGAAGAAGCGCGGCAGUGUAGGUUCCCUGAUUUCAAUGUUGUGUCGUCAACUGUUGAAAUUCUCGCCGAACCACUAUCGGCGAAGUUACGACGUCGUACUUCGUCACUGAAUUUAUUUGCAAAUUGCAAUGACGCAGGGAUUGAUAUGUAAGGACACCAUUCUUUGGAACUUGAAUGGUUGGCCUGAAAAAAAUCACUCUCUCUUUUUCAGAGAGAGAAAAUUCUCACCAUUUUGGGGUUUUGCUUUCUGCUCACUCGGAGCUUAACUUUGGCCCUCUGCGACUCUCCCUCGAAAGGGCUUCCUUUCCUGACCGUGAGUAUGCUCUCCCCACCGUCGAGUGGCGCGUGUAAAUAUAGUUUUUAUUUGUGCGGCUUUUGCAUGCAGGUUUUGAGGCAAGCUGAAAGUUUGACUGCCGGAUGACCUUGUAUAUUUGGUGCUACGUUGCCGAUCCGCCUUGGCUCUUACGCCGUCAAUUGUGUUGGGGAGCUGGGUUAUUUCUACGGAGUCCUCGGGAAUACGCACUCUGGGACGUUACCGACGCCACAAUAGUGUCCAAUCCCUUCAAGGCCUCGUUAAAAG